CAGCUAGGACCCGAACCCUGUAAUCAUAAAUCCAUUAAUUACUAGACUUCUUCUGUAUGAAUAGAAGUCUGGUAAGGUGCUUAUUAUUUAGAUGACAGAGAGAGUGUUUCCUGUUUGUCUGGUUCUGUUCUUACGAAGUAUCCUGCUACAAACAAGUGCUUUGGCUGAAGGCUCAGCUUUCAUAGGAUCAGUCUGGUUUUACCAAGGCACCAUCUUAUUCAGAAGUCAAGAACAACAACAACAUGGAUGGGGGGAGCAGUAAAGACGGACUCAUUCCUUGCAUUUCGAAGAAGGAUCAUGUCAUUUUCAUUUAGACAUAAGCCUCACUGUGCACGGAAGUAUUAAAGGCUUAGUGAGUCAUUUAUACCUAGCUGUACUUCCAAACAUUGUGGUGGCUUUCAUUGUAGCUCGAUGUCACUGCCUGCAUGUGUGUGCACAGAAGAGGAUUGUCCACUGUGACCGACACGUCAAAGAGGGUUCUAGGUUUUAUUCACUGCAGUAUCAUAAGAAAACACUGUUCCUGGCAGGAUUACACAGCAGGAAAGAAGAGAAGAGAAGAGAAGAGAAAAGGAGAUUUCCAUCCUAGUUUGAAGAUUGGAUAGAAUCACAGAACUGUAGGGGUUGGAAGGGACCUCGAAAGAUCAUUGGGUCCAACCCCCCUGCCAAAGCAGGUUGCCCAGAAAAUAAAUUUGUGAUACUUCAAGAACUUCAGUGUUACAGCACCUAAAAUGCCUUUGGAUUGGAUACCUUCAAGAUCAAGUCACAGUCAUGCAGAGAUUGCAUCUCUGAAGCUGGAAUUAGGAGAUUCAGGAACCUCCAUCCCUUGGUAGCUCUUGCCCUUGGUGCUAUUUUAUACUAUUCUGAAGUUUUCACACCCAUGGGAGUAAUUAAAGACAAUGCAAGAAUAUUACUUGAA
Molecule: non-coding RNA, 916 nt
Organism: Anas platyrhynchos (mallard)
Lineage: Eukaryota; Metazoa; Chordata; Aves; Anseriformes; Anatidae
Source: RefSeq, a predicted model, not a curated record